UACGCACGCUGGCGGCGUGCUUAACACAUGCAAGUCGAACGGAAAGGCCCUGCUUUUGUGGGGUGCUCGAGUGGCGAACGGGUGAGUAACACGUGAGUAACCUGCCCUUGACUUUGGGAUAACUUCAAGAAACUGGGGCUAAUACCGGAUAGGAGCUCCUGCUGCAUGGUGGGGGUUGGAAAGUUUCGGCGGUUGGGGAUGGACUCGCGGCUUAUCAGCUUGUUGGUGGGGUAGUGGCUUACCAAGGCUUUGACGGGUAGCCGGCCUGAGGGGGUGACCGGCCACAUUGGGACUGAGAUACGGCCCAGACUCCUACGGGAGGCAGCAGUGGGGAAUAUUGCACAAUGGGCGGAAGCCUGAUGCAGCAACGCCGCGUGCGGGAUGACGGCCUUCGGUUUGUAAACCGCUUUCGCCUGUGACGAAGCGUGAGUGACGGUAAUGGGUAAAGAAGCACCGGCUAACUACGUG
RNAcentral lists this ribosomal RNA (468 nucleotides) under uncultured bacterium. Its description in RNAcentral is "partial 16S ribosomal RNA". It matches the Rfam family "Bacterial small subunit ribosomal RNA", at positions 29 to 507 of the family's 1533-position model. The record is from RNAcentral.